Amphiprion ocellaris (clown anemonefish) is the source of this 621-nucleotide long non-coding RNA. RefSeq lists it as uncharacterized. The record is from RefSeq and is a predicted model, not a curated record. The transcript is spliced from 3 exons. Lineage: Eukaryota; Metazoa; Chordata; Actinopteri; Pomacentridae.
GGCAAAACCUUUUAUUUGCCUCCCCUUAGGGCUAUAGUGACAACGUGAUUGCCCGUAAGAACGAGGACGCGCCUUUUUACGUACCACGGCGAGCGAUUAAACAUCAACCCAUGCAGAGCCCCGUUGCGUAAAGCGUGAAAAUAGGCUAACUACUAAAGCCAGAGUACAGAGAAAAAAUCAUGAAGGCAUGGCCGUAACUCACUGGGAAACUCCAUAGCGGUAUCCGCAGAGCCCCUCACAGGGUCCUCGCGGUUUGGCCCAUAGGUCCGUCUAUUGGCCAUUAAUUGGAAACGAAGCUCUUUUGUGGAUCUGUUGUGCACUUAUCCGAGUACAGGUUGGGUGGCGUGGAGACCAAGUGGGUAACUCUGUUGCCUCACAGCAAGAAGGUUCUUCAUCUGAAUCUGCUGGUUCUCCGUGUGCGUUAGUCAUGUCCAAUGGUAUCCCACCUUACGAACAGCAUGCAACCCUCCACAGGAUAAAGCAGGUUUUGGGCUUGCAGCCAGCUAGAUCUACUCUGGCGCGACACAAGACAGGAAGCUGACAUAAAAGAAUGGGGGAACCGACUGCGAGGGACGUAGGAGCCGAGGCAGGAGCCAAGACAGCGGCCACUGGCGAGGUCGG